CGAGUAGUCUGAACGGUUGCACCUUUUUGGUGAGGAAAGUCCGAGCAUCAUAGGACAGUGUGGCAGAGAAAUCCUGCUGAAGGCGACUUUAAGGAAAGUGCAACAGAAAUUAUACCGCAGUUAUAUGACUGUAAGGGUGGAAAGGUGCGGUAAGAGCGCACCAGCAGUUUGGUAACAAAAUUGGCUGUGUAAACCCCACAUGAUGCAAGAUAAUGGAACAAUGAUUGGUCCGAUCGUUUCUAAAUCGCUAGAUUUUAUAGGCGACUAUAAAACAAGACAGAUAACCGUUUUCAACAGAACUCGGCUUAUAGGAUUACUCGAGAA
Molecule: RNase P RNA, 324 nt
Filed under: Clostridiales bacterium
Lineage: Bacteria; Bacillati; Bacillota; Clostridia; Eubacteriales
Also listed under: 1 other name
Description: RNase P RNA component class A
Rfam family: Bacterial RNase P class A
About the family: Ribonuclease P (RNase P) is a ubiquitous endoribonuclease, found in archaea, bacteria and eukarya as well as chloroplasts and mitochondria. Its best characterised activity is the generation of mature 5'-ends of tRNAs by cleaving the 5'-leader elements of precursor-tRNAs.
Source: RNAcentral